GCGGAGCUAUAUAUAGCUGCUUCUUCCAUUCUUGGUCAUCUCAGAAAUUCCAUAAACUUCAUUUGAAAGAAUAUAUCAUCUUUUUCCUCUCCAUGAGCUACAUGUAUAAGCAUUGGGUUAGGAAUGGGUAAUCUGCAUCUUGAGGCUUCCAGUGAACUUGUCCAGCGAGGCAUGAUCAUCAAAGACAAAGGGGACUGAUGGAUAGGUGGACGCCUGCAAACUCAGAUCAGUUCCUCCAGCUAUUGUGGACUUUAGGAAUCAUGAACGGUCUUGACGUGCCUACGUUGGCCUAGAGGUUUAGAAAUAUAGCUGUUUAUUCAGAGAGUAUAGAAGAUAUAUUAACUUGAUUACUAGGGGAUGUGAGCAGACUCAUCCGUUUUGGGAUAUUACUAUCAAUGAUGCUAGAGUACUGGUUUACAGGAACUGACAGGUUUUGCGGAGCUAUAGUUGCAAGGAUGACUUUACACACUUUGUGACUACUUAGCUAAGAACUCCCAUAAUAUGGAGACUAAUUUUUGUAUCAUUAAUCAACUUCCACUUAUUAAUCAAGAGGUGGAGAUUGAUGAGGGAAACUAGUGUAUGAUCUUGAUGUACUCUUUCUGAUGAAGCAAUGUAUUUCAGUUUUGUAUUAAUAAAAAAAGAAGAAAAAAUUAUUUGCCA
Long non-coding RNA from Neltuma alba, 660 nucleotides. RefSeq lists it as uncharacterized. Lineage: Eukaryota; Viridiplantae; Streptophyta; Magnoliopsida; Fabales; Fabaceae. The record is from RefSeq and is a predicted model, not a curated record. The transcript is spliced from 2 exons.